UCUAGUUAUAAUAGCAAAGAGGAUACACCUGUUCCCAUUCCGAACACAGAAGUUAAGCUCUUUAGCGGCGAUGGUACUUGGUGGGCAACUGCCUGGGAGAGUAGCACAUAGCUAGGU
Molecule: ribosomal RNA, 117 nt
Filed under: Romboutsia weinsteinii
Lineage: Bacteria; Bacillati; Bacillota; Clostridia; Peptostreptococcales; Peptostreptococcaceae
Source: RNAcentral